UGUAACUUCAUAAAACACCUAUUGAGAAUAUUACUUCGGCAGAUUGAAUUUAAAAAAAGAUAAAUAAAGUACUUCAAAUUCAGAUAUAAACGUUAUAUUUGUUCGGAAUAGUAAUAAAUUUUUUUCUCUGCCAAAGAAAGAAAACAAAAAAGAAGUUCGCCUAUAUAUAGCCUGUAUACUUUUAUUUUUCCGUGAUCCGGAUCGCGGGCCUCGCGGGCUUUUCUGAAAGUGUGCACGGAGAACACACGUGUUUCCGUUUCAACGAAAACAACAUCAGCUUCACCGUGACUGUCACAACCAACGCUUGUAUUUUACAUCUUUAAAACGACCUGAUGUCAGAAGAAGAUGCCCUGGAUCGCCUGUUGCAGGAUGACCCAAACGAUCAUGCAUACAGUAUAAAUACGUACAUGUAAGUUGAUGUAGCCACAUAGGCCGACUAAAAAGAAAACAAAAAUGUGGUUUUGUCAUGUUAUGAAAAAUUCACGAUUAAUUAACCGCAAUUUGAUGCCAUGGUUUGUCGUUUCAUGAAAGCAAAUAUUUAUAUUUUAUGAUAUCUAAAACAAGUGAAUAACACCCUGUCCGGGUCCGGCAGUUUGAUUAACACCCCCCCCCCUUUUUCCCAGAAUUAUCUCCUUACGUGACGCGCGAGUGUAAGAAGGGGGUGUAUUUAGUGUAUAAUGGGAUGGGGUGGUUUUAAUAAGACUGGGCAUUCACGACCGCUGGUGAGAAGGCUAUUUUCCAAGUUUUUUCCAUGUUUAUAAAAGAAAUUAUCUUUCUAUGAAAAGAAAACACAAUCUGUUAGGAAAACACACUUAUGAUAGAAUUUAUUAUCAUAAUUUGAAUUAUUUUCUUUAUUCUGUAACAGAAAUAAAAACAAAAUGUGUGUUUGGGCCAAAAUGGGGGUGGGUUAACAUCAAUCAAAGUCUGAUUAUGACAGGCUAAUGAAAAAUAAUAGUGAUUUCUCUUUUAUCCAAAUGCAUGUAUUUUAUAUACACUUAGUAGCUUAUGACCAUAAAUUAAAUGUGAUCCAUACAUGCUGGUACUUGUAUGCUAUGAGCUGAUGAGCAUGUGUUCCCUUCUUGCCCACAGGGGCUCGGUUGUCAGAUAUUGAAGUUUUGUAUUAUUUGUUCCCAAAUAAUAGAUUGAAGUUUUGCAUGAUUUGUGUCCGAAUGAUAAAUUAUAUAAAUGCAAGGUGAAGAUAACGAACAGUGAUCAAUCUCAUAACUCCUACAAGCAAUACAAAAUAGAUAGUUGGGCAAACACGGACCCCUGGACACACCAGAGGUGGGAUCAGGUGCCUAGGAGGAGUAAGCAUCUCCUGUUGACCGGUCACACCCGCCGUGAGCCCCAUAUCAUGAUCAGGUAAACGGAGUUAUCCGCAGUCAAAUCAGUGUGCCAAGUACUUUAAUGUACACAUGAUACACCUUUUUGAAAACCUCUAAAAAAGCGGAUUUUGGUGGUGGAUUUUAUUUAUAUAAUUUAUUAUUCGGACACAAAUCAUGCAAAACUUCAAUUUAUUAUUCGGGAACAAAUAAUACAAAACUUCAAUAACUGACAACCGAGCCCCUGUGUUCUUGGCGGUCUCCUCCGUGACCGAGUGGUUAGAGCAUUGCGCUCAAAAUCACACGGCCUCUCAUCUCUGUCGGCGCGAGUUCGAAUCCCAUUCGCGCCGGUAAGUGAGAAAGUUUUCCCAAUUUACUUUCGAAAGAUCAGUGGUCUCUCCCCAGGUAUCUGGGUUCUCUCUUCCACCAAUAAAAAAAAACUGGGUGCCACCAGAUAACUGAAAAAUUGCUGAGUUUGGCAGAAAACAUCAAUCAAUCAAUCCCCUUCUUGCCUAGAUUUUCUCUAAUUUCGACUAAAUCCACAGCCCAUCAGAGUACCAUACAAGGGGAUUUAGACACUGGGUACCAUUAAGAAGCAAUUCAAUUCAACUUUUAUAUCUGGGGUCAUUCACUUUCCCUCAGAGUUUCAGUAUUUUCGCUGGACCCUGUAGGUUUUAACCUGAAUUUCUUCAGUAUUUGCCCUCGUGUAUAAUAUAUGCUAGGCAUAAUGCAGAUACCUACAUGAUACAUUUUUUUUCAUUACCCACUCUGCUACUCUCGCAAUGUAUAAUAAAAUAUUCGAUUCAUUUCUAACACAUGUAUGCAAUCCCUUACCAUAUCUUUAAAUAAAUUUGAGUAAAUAAAUUUAAGUGCGAAACUGUUCCAUGCUACCGUGAAACUUAGAUUUUGCUUUUUAAACAUAAACCAACAAUUCUUAAUUGUGAUUUCUUUUCUUCUUUAAAAAGGGUAUUGACAUCCCAAUAUUUAGUGGGAAGUUCCCAGGUAUCAUCCGCUAGCGACAGUCUACUGACAAAUCCAGACAUGCAUUGGAAGGAUGCUGAUAUGGAGGACACAGGAACACCUGAUCCCAGAACUGUGGCAUUUCAUUCGGGGUGACAACCUGGCUUUCAGUUGAUAUGGGACCCUAUUAUUCGGAGAACUGCAAAUUUUAUGAAGCUGUCUUUGACAGAAGAUUUGGUUUUCUCCAUCUGUGUUGCCACCAACCAUUAUGCUGAGAUGGUCAUAUCUAGGGGGAAGGGUUGCCAUAUACUUCCCAAGGAAGUUUGCACCCUCUCACUGAAGAGGAACUGUACAGAUUUUUGUGCAUUAUCUUAUACACGCCUGCUGUGAAGUUCCAGUCGAUAGACAGAUAUUGGUCAAGGCAUGCCCCUGUCGGAACAACUCGUUAUCAAGAAUUAUGUCUAGAAAUAGGUUUCAAGAGGUUGAAUAUAAGAACAUUUUUGUUAAAUAUGAUGCAAGUACAUUUAAAUCUAGUGAUUGAAAGUAAGUACUUGAACAUUCGCUUAUGUUGAACUUGGAGAGGAAAAAUGGUUAGUACUUUUUGAUAACAUUUGAUAAGGUGUUGUUGCUUAGCAACCAAAUAUAACUGAAUAAAAAAUAGAUUAUUUUAGAUUAACAAUAAUUGAAAGAUUUUUGUUUUAAUGUUGCAAUACUUAUUCUAUUUAAUGGAACAUAAUGGCAAAACGUCAUAUUAUUAGAAAAUGAUGGACAAGUAUAUAAAGUACGAAGUUUCCAUUUGAUGACCUUUGACCUUAAUUCUCUUCAUUACAUUUUUUUUUAAAAACCUUUUAAAAUGAUUAAGAUCUAUUUAAAGAUUAUAUUUUUAAAAUAAAGUGACAUUUACUAAUCAUCAUGGAUUGUAAUUACGUUUAAAUUGUGUCGAAUGGAUGCAGAAAGGCAAAUUAUGGUCAAAAUUGUACUAUGAGUGUUGUUACUUAGCAACCAAAAAUAUUUGUUUGUCAAUAAAAUUGAUUAGUUUGA
Long non-coding RNA from Ostrea edulis (European flat oyster), 3323 nucleotides. RefSeq lists it as uncharacterized. Lineage: Eukaryota; Metazoa; Mollusca; Bivalvia; Ostreida; Ostreidae. The transcript has 3 exons. The record is from RefSeq and is a predicted model, not a curated record.